This 466-nucleotide ribosomal RNA is filed under the name uncultured bacterium. RNAcentral describes it as "partial 16S ribosomal RNA". It matches the Rfam family "Bacterial small subunit ribosomal RNA", at positions 28 to 507 of the family's 1533-position model. The record is from RNAcentral.
GAUGAACGCUGGCGGCGUGCUUAACACAUGCAAGUCGAACGAUGAAGCCCAGCUUGCUGGGUGGAUUAGUGGCGAACGGGUGAGUAACACGUGAGUAACCUGCCCUUGACUCUGGGAUAAGCCUGGGAAACUGGGUCUAAUACUGGAUGUGACUUCUCAUCGCAUGGUGGGGGGUGGAAAGAUUUAUUGGUCUUGGAUGGACUCGCGGCCUAUCAGCUUGUUGGUGAGGUAAUGGCUCACCAAGGCGACGACGGGUAGCCGGCCUGAGAGGGUGACCGGCCACACUGGGACUGAGACACGGCCCAGACUCCUACGGGAGGCAGCAGUGGGGAAUAUUGCACAAUGGGCGCAAGCCUGAUGCAGCGACGCCGCGUGAGGGAUGACGGCCUUCGGGUUGUAAACCUCUUUCAGUAGGGAAGAAGCGAGAGUGACGGUACCUGCAGAAGAAGCGCCGGCUAACUACGUG